RNAcentral lists this microRNA (27 nucleotides) under Cavia porcellus (domestic guinea pig). RNAcentral's name for it is "cpo-miR-342-5p". Its record names the gene cpo-miR-342-5p. The record is from miRBase by way of RNAcentral. Lineage: Eukaryota; Metazoa; Chordata; Mammalia; Rodentia; Caviidae.
AGGGGUGCUAUCUGUGCUGGAGGGACA